This 468-nucleotide ribosomal RNA is filed under the name uncultured bacterium. Its description in RNAcentral is "partial 16S ribosomal RNA". It matches the Rfam family "Bacterial small subunit ribosomal RNA", at positions 28 to 507 of the family's 1533-position model. The record is from RNAcentral.
GACGAACGCUGGCGGCGUGCUUAACACAUGCAAGUCGAACGGAAAGGCCCUGCUUUUGUGGGGUGCUCGAGUGGCGAACGGGUGAGUAACACGUGAGUAACCUGCCCUUGACUUUGGGAUAACUUCAGGAAACUGGGGCUAAUACCGGAUAGGAGCUCCUGCUGCAUGGAGGGGGUUGGAAAGUUUCGGCGGUUGGGGAUGGACUCGCGGCUUAUCAGCUUGUUGGUGGGGUAGUGGCUUACCAAGGCUUUGACGGGUAGCCGGCCUGAGAGGGUGACCGGCCACAUUGGGACUGAGAUACGGCCCAGACUCCUACGGGAGGCAGCAGUGGGGAAUAUUGCACAAUGGGCGGAAGCCUGAUGAAGCAACGCCGCGUGCGGGAUGACGGCCUUCGGGUUGUAAACCGCUUUCGCCUGUGACGAAGCGUGAGUGACGGUAAUGGGUAAAGAAGCACCGGCUAACUACGUG